UUUUGCUCCGACCAGCCACCUCCGGCCACCGCCUAGCCCCGCCGGACUUCCCCCGGCAUCCCCCUCGCCCUCCGCCGGCCUCCCCUUGCCGCCCUAGUCGCCGGACGAGCUUCGUCCAGCCAAGAACAGUGGCUGGAAAAAUGGGUUUCCAGCACUGUUCAAGGCCGAUUUGGGCCGUUUCCCGACCCGAACCCGAGCGGUGCUUUGGGAAGAAUCAUUCCUCGCGUCGCCGCCGUCGGAUUGAUCCGAUUUGUGCGCGAUUUGGACCCCGCUGAAGAGCUGAGAAGGAGGAAUUCGAGAAGGAAGACUCGGAGGCGAAUCUUAAGGAAAAAGAUUUUUGGAGGAAGAAGGCAAUCCUGAGAGGGGCCUUGAGUACGGCCUAGUUUGUCUAAGUUUCUGUCCUCUUUUGAGAUCUCCAUUUUGAUGGAAAUAGUUUCGAAGUGGUUUAUGGUUUGUAUAAAAGUUUGGUUAUAAAUUUCUAUAUGAAAAAUAUGGCCCUGCUUUUCUAUCCCA
This is a long non-coding RNA of Eucalyptus grandis, 513 nucleotides long. RefSeq lists it as uncharacterized. The transcript is spliced from 2 exons. The record is from RefSeq and is a predicted model, not a curated record. NCBI's taxonomy places the organism in Eukaryota, Viridiplantae, Streptophyta, Magnoliopsida, Myrtales, Myrtaceae.